GUCCCAUCACAUAGAGCUGUAUGGCAUGUAGUCGGUUGGGGGAGGCUACGUGAUGUAGGUUUACCCAGUGCAUGGGUUACAAGUAAAAUGAUAGCAUGGGAUGGUGUACCUUGAUUUGACUUAUGCGAACAAGAAGCCAUAAUUAGUGUACUUUGAUCUGCACUUUAGAUGGAGGGCCAUUGUUCGGCGUGCCAAAGUCUGAGAGCUGGUGGACAUCCUUGUUGCUAGAUGGUGUCAGUCAUGAGGAUUGGCCCUUUCAUUAACUGAUAGUGGUAGGGAUCAGUGAUCAAGGGGGGAUGCCAGAAAAUCUCCUCAAAAUGCACCAUCUGAAAUCAGCGAG
Molecule: long non-coding RNA, 340 nt
Filed under: Elaeis guineensis (African oil palm)
Lineage: Eukaryota; Viridiplantae; Streptophyta; Magnoliopsida; Arecales; Arecaceae
Description: long non-coding RNA (EGUI_LNC042104)
Source: RNAcentral